AAGGCGAAAAGAACCCCGGCGAGGGGAGUGAAAAAGAACCUGAAACCGUGUACGUACAAGCAGUGGGAGCACCUUCGUGGUGUGACUGCGUACCUUUUGUAUAAUGGGUCAGCGACUUAUAUUCUGUAGCAAGGUUAACCGUAUAGGGGAGCCGAAGGGAAACCGAGUCUUAACUGGGCGUUAAGUUGCAGGGUAUAGACCCGAAACCCGGUGAUCUAGCCAUGGGCAGGUU
This 232-nucleotide ribosomal RNA is filed under the name Mesorhizobium sp. Its description in RNAcentral is "partial 23S ribosomal RNA". It matches the Rfam family "Bacterial large subunit ribosomal RNA", at positions 511 to 746 of the family's 2925-position model. Lineage: Bacteria; Pseudomonadati; Pseudomonadota; Alphaproteobacteria; Hyphomicrobiales; Phyllobacteriaceae. The record is from RNAcentral.